RNAcentral lists this transfer RNA (77 nucleotides) under Hyphomonas sp. Its description in RNAcentral is "tRNA-Met". It matches the Rfam family "tRNA". Rfam says of the family: Transfer RNA (tRNA) molecules are approximately 80 nucleotides in length. Their secondary structure includes four short double-helical elements and three loops (D, anti-codon, and T loops). The record is from RNAcentral. RNAcentral also lists the same sequence under 5 other names. Lineage: Bacteria; Pseudomonadati; Pseudomonadota; Alphaproteobacteria; Hyphomonadales; Hyphomonadaceae.
CGCGGGAUGGAGCAGUCCGGUAGCUCGUCAGGCUCAUAACCUGAAGGUCGCAGGUUCAAAUCCUGCUCCCGCACCCA